Molecule: non-coding RNA, 198 nt
Organism: Saimiri boliviensis boliviensis (Bolivian squirrel monkey)
Lineage: Eukaryota; Metazoa; Chordata; Mammalia; Primates; Cebidae
Source: RefSeq, a predicted model, not a curated record
GCCAUGUUUCUCUUGCACAAAGCUGGGAGCAACACCAGAGCCUCCUGCAAGAUGCUUGUGAUUCUGCUGUCAGUGGCCCUGCUGGCCGUGAGCUCAGCUCAGAGCUUAAAUGAAGAUGUCAGCCAGGAAGACGUUCCCUCCCUAAUAUCAGAUGAAGGGGACUCUAACCAGAGCCCAGAUGAGGAGAAUCAGAAACCA